GAAGGCAGGAAAUAAGUGGAACUCCAGAGACAGAAUAAGCAAAUCCCAAGUUCAAACAAGUAUUAGUAAACACCAAAGAGGGUCAAAAGCAGGCUUCUAAUCCACCAAGCACAACUGCUUUACCAGGAACGUCAGUGAAGGAGAACAAACCAUCCAAGAUAAAGCACUCUGCCCAAAAGCAGAAGGCAGUGAGUACCCCAAAACCUUAGAAGACUCCAAUUCCCCCAUGACCCUCAAAAACUGCCAGUUAACCUGUUUCAUCUGGACACUGAAGGCCGGUUACCCCGUUACAGCUGAGCAUCAAAAGCCAGAAAUUAGAUGCAUAGGCACCUGUUUGCCCUCGGCCACCCAAAUCAAAAAAGGAUAUUCCCAGAAGUCAUUACAAAAGAAGUCUGUAGUGCACAAGGGGGGAAGUGUCUGAGACGUUCAGAGGAGACAGAUCCUCCUGAAGUGGCUCUUCUGAAAAGGGAUGCCUGCCCUGGGUAGAGUCUGCUGCUGUCCUUGAGGGAGUCUGCACAACUGCAGUGAUGACUUCUGCCCCAGAGGUUUUGCUGGCCUCCCGGGACAGAAUCACAGCAAGGGCUGGGGAAGAGACAGUGCAAUCUCCAAAGGCAGCCUAUGGAGUCAGAUGGUGUGUGGUCUGCCGAAGUCUCCCUGCAGGCAGAGGUGGUUUUGUUUACCUCCAGCUUCAUGGUAGAAGAGCCUGGAUCCAGAAAAGCAGGAAGGGCACGUCAGUGCAUUCUUCUUGCCCCCUGCUUGCAAUUUUCCACCCCUAUACCUUGAAGGUAAUAUCGAGUUCACCAAGUGAGUUCACAGAAACAAGGUCUAAUAAAGCUUCCCAUGGAAAUGG
Molecule: long non-coding RNA, 850 nt
Filed under: Homo sapiens (human)
Lineage: Eukaryota; Metazoa; Chordata; Mammalia; Primates; Hominidae
Description: non-protein coding lnc-WDR1-7:1
Source: RNAcentral